CUAAAAGGUCAUGAAAGAGCCGACUGAAUCAGAUGGCACGUUAAAAGACUCAUCAACGGUGGCAGGUUUAUAGAACAUGACAGAGGAAGCUGUGCUUAGCUGAGAAGAGGAAGCAGAGAAGGAAGCAGAGAAAAACAAAGUCUGUGAUAAAAACUGGAAAGGAGCCACAAAAGGCCACAAAAAACAAGGAAGUCCAUUUUGGAACCGGAUCCUGGAGUGACUGAAAAGGCAGAGUGUCAUUUGAGGAUGCGAGUAGUAUAAUCAUACUUUUUUGCAUGGAAGAAAGCAAGUGUCUUGAGGCAUCCAUCAUCCUGGAAGAAGACUAUGAUUUAUAACAGAAGGAAUGCAAAAAGAAAGAACAAGUUAAUAUUUCUCUUUUGGCAUGUCAAAUAGAAUUAUUCAGCAAGACAAUAACCUUGCAAGCCAGGCGUUGUCUUGAAAAACCAUUUCCAAAUUUCUUUAAUCCUUCCCUUUGGCUUUUCAACAAUGCAGCCUGAUUGAACCAGUUUAUGGAGUUCUCCCUAAGUGCAGAGAAAAUACCCAUAUCCUUUAUUAGGGUAUCUCUAAGAAACUGAAGUAUGGAGGGCAUGAUGCAGGGGAAAUCUGUCAUUUUGGGGCCCUUUGUGAUAGAGAGAAAGAGAGAGAAAGAGGAAGAAGAAGAUGAGAGAAUCAGUUUUGAUCAUGUAUUCUCCCAGCUUUGGCCCAGAAAAUAGGGAGGCCUAUUGGAUGAGUGGGGAUAUCACCAAGGGCAGAGGAAGCUUUUGUCCUUCUUCCUGCUUGAGACUCUGCAGAAUAGACUGUCAUCCUGGGGUGUGACCACAUCCACAUGGCAGUGUGGUAUGACCUGGCAGAGGGAGUCCUUGACACUUAGUUUUCCUGAGCCAUUCUUAUUUCCAGUGAGGCACAGAUGGACCCAGAAAAUGGUGGGAGUUUGGCUGGGGAGUAUUACCAAUGGGAGUCACCAUGGCUGGGCAAGGUCAAGGUACUCCGUAGCAAGGGCUGCCCAGUGGACCACCUGGGCCAGGCCAAUUGGAGUCACAGCAAAUGGGAAGGAGUCUAGACCCAAUAGAUGAGUCCAAAAAGCUGCAGAGAGCGAGAGCUAGCAAGGCAGUCCCCUGGGCUCUGAUCUGCUGAGGAAAACCUAGGCUGUAAGUUACUCUUGUACAGACACAGACUUCAGCUGUGAAUCCCAGUAGGGUAAGAUGCACGCAGGUGGAUCAGGGACUUCCACCUAACCCUGCCUAGAAGAGUAAGAGGAAUCUGACCUUUUGCCUGCCGCGAAGGUGUUCAAGCUCCACCUGUCCCUCUUCAUAUGCAGAUGUCAUCUUGGAGGGGAGCUAGAAGACUGAUGUGUUUGAGAAACUAAGCCUUUAUUUCCCCUCAGAGGGGACCAUUCUUUGAAGGGACCAUUUAAAUUAUCGUGUAAUACGAAGGUUCAAACUUUAUUAGAUAUUAAAACAAUCAGUUUGUCCUUUUGAAUGGCUUUUGGCUAUUUCCAAAAUUCAAAUCCGUUAGAAGACAAAGAUUAGACAUACUGAAAUGCUUCUAAAAAUAUUCUAACUGGUGAAUAUAUGAGAAAAGAAUUAACCUCAUUAAUUAUCCACUCGAAUGUAAACUAAAACACUAUUCUAUACUUCCUUCUUUGAAAUUCAUAAACGUUGGAAAAAAAUACAGAAAAUCUACUAGUUAGUAGGAAAAAAGUUGUAGACAGAACAAAGGGGCCACAUGCUCUUGGUCAAUCUGAGUUUUGAUGGAAGUUAAAUGUUGCUGCCCUGGCAUAACACUAACAUUUAUUAAGCACUUUGUCUGUGCCUGGUGCUGUUUUAAGAAAUUUAGGUGCAUUAUUUCACUAAACCUUGUCAAUAGCCUUAUGAAAUAUAUGCUAUCAUGGCCUCUUUUUAUCAAUGGGGAAACUGAGCCACAGAAAAAAUAAAUACCUUGUACAAUUAGAAAAUGGCAAUUUGCUGGGUGCGAGGGCUCACGCCUGUAAUCCUAGCACUUUGGGAGGCUGAGGGAGGAGUUCAAGACUAGCCUGGCCAACAUGGUGAAACCCCAUCUCUACUAAAAUACAAAAAUUAGCUGGGCGUUAUGGCGGGUGCCUGUAAUCCCAGCGACUCGGGAGGCUGAGACGGGAGAAUCACUUGAACCUGGGAGACGGUGGUCGCAGUGAGCCAAGAUUGCACCACUGCACUCCAGCCUGGGCAGCUGAGCAAGACUCCAUCUCAAAGAAAAAAAGAAAAAAAUGGCAAACUUAGGAUUUGAGUCCAGGAAGUCUGAUGUGAGGGCCACUGGCCUUAACCUCUGCCCUCUGCUUGCCCACAGGUUGGGACACACUGAAACCCUUCUUCCUAUGUGACAAACAUCAGGUCCUUACCACUGACUAGGGGGUGGGUGGGGAAUUCUAAACUAUUUCUUCUUGUCUCUAUUUCAGUUUUAAGCCUCUGUAACCUUAAUGCUUGUCGACAGAUCUGUUUGUUUUGAGGAUUGAUAUGAUAUUUCCGAAAACAACUAGCAAAGAUAUAGCUGCUUAAUCAUCAUUGCUUCUAGAACCCAAAUCUUGCUUAAUUAGACAAAUUAACACACUCUAUUCUUUGAAAAUAUCUAGGGAAGAACUUGCCACUUGCUUCCUGCCUUUGCAAGUGGAAUUUGCUGUCGAGGCUUCUCUGAAUAGCAUCACUGUCAGGCCCUGGAUCAUUUAUAUCACCUUAUCAGGGGCUGAGAGACUUUAGGGAAUCUUCCAGCCAAGCCCAAGAGAUUGGCUCUUGGGCUCCAGUGAUUGAUCCACCACAAGAAGAGCAUGCUCUUGGGUAGCUGCUGCCCCUUCAGCCUGGGCCCUGGAAUAAAAAUAUGUGGAGCAGACUUGACCACAGUUUGCCGCUACACUUAGCUGUCCAGCAGGCUGAAGUGGAGCUUCCCAGCCAAGCCUAGCCUGAAUUGACUGAACCAUCAUUGAUUUGCAGAUCUGUAAUUGUGAGAAUAAAUUCUUGUUGUCAAAAGCUAUUGAGUUUUGGGGUGUUUGUUAUGCAGCAUUAUGGAAACAAAAGCUGCCAA
Molecule: long non-coding RNA, 3051 nt
Filed under: Homo sapiens (human)
Lineage: Eukaryota; Metazoa; Chordata; Mammalia; Primates; Hominidae
Description: HSALNT0007123
Source: RNAcentral